GCUAUUGUGGUGAAUCAUAGUAACUAAUCGCGAUCGCAUGGGCUAGGUCCCGCGACAAACCAUUCAAGUUUCUGCCCCAUCAGCUUUCGACGGUAGUGUAUUGGACUACCGUGGCUUUUACGGGUAACGGAGGAUUAGGGUUCGAUUCCGGAGAGGGAGCCUGAGAAACGGCUACCACAUCUAAGGAAGGCAGCAGGCGCGUAAAUUACCCAAUUCUGAUUCAGAGAGGUAGUG
RNAcentral lists this ribosomal RNA (234 nucleotides) under uncultured Spirotrichea. RNAcentral describes it as "partial small subunit ribosomal RNA". It matches the Rfam family "Eukaryotic small subunit ribosomal RNA", at positions 237 to 469 of the family's 1831-position model. Lineage: Eukaryota; Ciliophora; Spirotrichea. The record is from RNAcentral.